Malania oleifera is the source of this 2023-nucleotide RNA transcript. It is a transcript of the gene named ACT domain-containing protein ACR10-like, with no coding region annotated. Lineage: Eukaryota; Viridiplantae; Streptophyta; Magnoliopsida; Santalales; Ximeniaceae. The transcript has 7 exons. The record is from RefSeq and is a predicted model, not a curated record.
AGCGAAAGCGAAAGGACGAGAAAUUGGGAAUUCCGGGAAAAGAAAUCCAGCAAAGGAGAGGAGGAGAAAGAACCCAUGAUCCGCUCUGAUCUUUGCUUCGACGGAAUCUCCAAUUCUUCUGCUCUCUGCCAACCGAAGAAUUGACACAAAGCGCCCAUCUGAAGUUUCACACAGUAGCUGUUAAACUUGCGCUAGCUCCACUGGAAUACGAAGAAGAAGAAGAAGCAGGGCGACUUAGCAGAGUGGUAGAAGAGAAAAGAAGCUAAAAAAAUUUGUGGGAGUGUGAAGGAAUGGGUCUUCUGUACGAAGAUUUCGUGGUCAUUAGGGAAGCCGAGAAGGUCGGUGAUCGGACUGUGAUUACUGUAAACUGUCCGGAUAAGACAGGGUUGGGAUGCGAUUUGUGCAGGGUAAUUUUGCUGUUUGGCUUGAGCAUUGCAAGAGGAGAUUUAUCAACAGAUGGGAAAUGGUGCUACGUUGUGCUGUGGGUGGUGGGAAAACCAAUAGGUCGAUGGAGUCUGUUGAAGAAGAGAUUGAUGGAGGUUUGUCCUUCCUGCUCGUUGGCGGCCGGCGGCAUUUAUUAUUACCGGCCGGAGUUUCAGCCUCCGAGGCCGCCGGCGGUUUUCCUUUUGAAGUUCUGGUGUUCUUCUGCUUGCGAAGGCCGUUUACACGAUGUUACUGAGGUUUUGUGCGAGCUAGAGCUUACAAUAAGAAGAGUGAAGGUAUCCACUGCCCCAGAUGGGAGAGUAUUGGAUCUCUUCUUCAUCACUGACACCAGAGAACAACUUCAUACCAAACAGAGACAGGAGGAUACAGUCAAUCAUUUAAAAGAGGUGAUAGGGGAUGCGAUGAUAAGUUGCGAGAUUGAAUUGGCCAACCUAGAACUCGCCUCAUGUUCUCAGGGUUCAGCAUUUCUUCUAUAUGCAAUCACAGAUGACUUGUUCAGUUUAGAGCAACCCAAUGAACACCAAAGUGGAUCCACUGCUUCCAGCACGGUAGCUGUUAGCAUGGACAACACCCUCAGCCCAGGUCAUACACUUCUGCAAAUCCAGUGUCUGGAUCACAAAGGUCUCCUGUAUGAUGUCAUGAGAACUCUAAAGGAUUACAAUAUCCAGAUUUCAUAUGGGCGAUUCUUCGCAAACCCCAAAGGGAACUGUGAGUUAGAAUUGUUUAUCACACAAUCGGAUGGCAAAAAGAUAAUGGACCCCAACAAGCAAAAUGCACUGCAAUCUCGGGUAAGAAUGGAGCUCUGUCGUCCUCUCAGAGUGGCUGUGGUUAGCCGAGGCCCUGAUAUUGAGUUGCUGGUAGCAAAUCCUGUUGAAUUGUCUGGAAGGGGCCGACCCCUUGUCUUCUAUGAUAUUACACUUGCUCUCAAAAUUCUCAACAUUAACAUAUUUUCGGUGGAGAUAGGGAGGCACAUGAUUCUGGGACGAGAGUGGGAAGUAUAUAGGAUCCUGCUCGAUGAAAGGGAUAGUUUUUCGGUGCCAAGGAACAAGAUUGAAGAGGGUGUUAGGAACAUGUUGAUGGGUUGGGAUUAGGGUUAGAUACCCAACUUCAGUUGGGAGCUUAUUACACCACUGUACAGCAUACUUUUUAGUGUUGGACCAAACAAUAGUGCUAAGAGGAAACAUGCAUAAUGGACCAUAUAGUUGCACACGGUGUCAUGAUCAAUAGAACGCUCAAGAUUUGGCAAUUUCCUUGAAGCACGCAGCACGGAUGGUUCAUGGAAAGCGCUGUGAAUGUGCCCUUGGGAGGGAAUGCUUUUGCAUUUUUCCAUAUGCUAGAAAUGUGAGGCAAUGGCUAAUUGGAGUGAAUAACUACAAGUGGCAACACUGGAACACAUUCAGUAUGUUGGAUAGAAAAUAUGCAUUUUGGUGAUUGCUUUCUCAAGCUGCAACUUGAUUGAUUAACGAGAAUUUCAGUUUGUUUCCCAGGAAUAUGUGAAGUCGCCAUGUAUUUUUCACCAUUUUUUCCACUUAACUUGUCCUUCACCUAGAUUAAACUAUCAGAGCAUUUUCCUUGCAUU